This 461-nucleotide ribosomal RNA is filed under the name uncultured bacterium. RNAcentral describes it as "SSU rRNA". It matches the Rfam family "Bacterial small subunit ribosomal RNA", at positions 26 to 518 of the family's 1533-position model. The record is from RNAcentral.
AGAAUCAACGCUGGCGGCGUGCCUAACACAUGCAAGUCGAACGAGAAAGGGUAGCAAUACCUGAGUAAAGUGGCGCACGGGUGAGUAACACGUGACUAACCUACCUUUUAGUGGGGGAUAACCUAGGGAAACCUGGGCUAAUACCGCAUAAUACCUACGGGUCAAAGCAGCAAUGCGCUGAAUGAGGGGGUCGCGGUCGAUUAGUUAGUUGGCAGGGUAAUGGCCUACCAAGACUGUGAUCGAUAUCCGGCCUGAGAGGGCGCACGGACACACUGGAACUGAAACACGGUCCAGACUCCUACGGGAGGCAGCAGUGGGGAAUUUUGCGCAAUGGGGGAAACCCUGACGCAGCAACGCCGCGUGGAGGAUGAAGUCCCUUGGGACGUAAACUCCUUUCGAUCGGGACGAUAAUGGACGGUACCGGAAGAAGAAGCCCCGGCUAACUUCGCGCCAGCAGCCGC